CUCUAGCUUGCUAGAAGUGGAUUAGUGGCGCACGGGUGAGUAAUGCAUAGGUUAUGUGCCCCAUAGUCUGGGAUAGCCACUGGAAACGGUGAUUAAUACUAGAUACUCCUUACGAGGGAAAGUUUUUCGCUAUGGGAUCAGCCUAUGUCCUAUCAGCUUGUUGGUGAGGUAAUGGCUCACCAAGGCUAUGACGGGUAUCCGGCCUGAGAGGGUGAACGGACACACUGGAACUGAGACACGGUCCAGACUCCUACGGGAGGCAGCAGUAGGGAAUAUUGCUCAAUGGGCGAAAGCCUGAAGCAGCAACGCCGCGUGGAGGAUGAAGGUUUUAGGAUUGUAAACUCCUUUUGUUAGAAAAGAUUAUGACGGUAUCUCACGAAUAAGCAC
This 387-nucleotide ribosomal RNA is filed under the name uncultured Helicobacter sp. RNAcentral's name for it is "bacterial SSU rRNA". It matches the Rfam family "Bacterial small subunit ribosomal RNA", at positions 73 to 493 of the family's 1533-position model. The record is from RNAcentral. Lineage: Bacteria; Pseudomonadati; Campylobacterota; Epsilonproteobacteria; Campylobacterales; Helicobacteraceae.